RNAcentral lists this ribosomal RNA (253 nucleotides) under uncultured bacterium. RNAcentral's name for it is "partial 16S ribosomal RNA". It matches the Rfam family "Bacterial small subunit ribosomal RNA", at positions 524 to 776 of the family's 1533-position model. The record is from RNAcentral.
UACAGAGGUCUCAAGCGUUGUUCUGAUUCAUUGGGCGUAAAGGGUGUGUAGGUGGCGCCGUAAGUCGGGUGUGAAAUCUCGGGGCUUAACUCCGAAACUGCAUUCGAUACUGCGGUGCUUGAGGACUGGAGAGGAGACUGGAAUUCAUGGUGUAGCAGUGAAAUGCGUAGAGAUCAUGAGGAAGACCAGUGGCGAAGGCGGGUCUCUGGACAGUUCCUGACACUGAGACACGAAGGCCAGGGGAGCAAACGGG